This 468-nucleotide ribosomal RNA is filed under the name uncultured bacterium. RNAcentral describes it as "partial 16S ribosomal RNA". It matches the Rfam family "Bacterial small subunit ribosomal RNA", at positions 28 to 507 of the family's 1533-position model. The record is from RNAcentral.
GACGAACGCUGGCGGCGUGCUUAACACAUGCAAGCCGAACGGGAAGGCUCUGCUUUUGUGGGGUGCUCGAGUGGCGAACGGGUGAGUAACACGUGAGUAACCUGCCCUUGACUUUGGGAUAACUUCAGGAAACUGGGGCUAAUACCGGCUAGGAGCUCCUGCUGCAUGGUGGGGGUUGGAAAGUUUCGGCGGUUGGGGAUGGACUCGCGGCUUAUCAGCUUGUUGGUGGGGUAGUGGCUUACCAAGGCUUUGACGGGUAGCCGGCCUGAGAGGGUGACCGGCCACAUUGGGACUGAGAUACGGCCCAGACUCCUACGGGAGGCAGCAGUGGGGAAUAUUGCACGAUGGGCGGAAGCCUGAUGCAGCAACGCCGCGUGCGGGAUGACGGCCUUCGGGUUGUAGACCGCUUUCGCCUGUGACGAAGCGUGAGUGACGGUAAUGGGUAAAGAAGCACCGGCUAACUACGUG